ACUCCUGCGGGAGGCAGCAGUGGGGAAUUUUGGACAAUGGGCGAAAGCCUGAUCCAGCCAUGCCGCGUGCAGGAUGAAGGCCUUCGGGUUGUAAACUGCUUUUGUACGGAACGAAACGGCCUUUUCUAAUAAAGAGGGCUAAUGACGGUACCGUAAGAAUAAGCACCGGCUAACUACGUGCCAGCAGCCGCGGUAAUACGUAGGGUGCAAGCGUUAAUCGGAAUUACUGGGCGUAAAGCGUGCGCAGGCGGUUAUGUAAGACAGUUGUGAAAUCCCCGGGCUCAACCUGGGAACUGCAUCUGUGACUGCAUAGCUAGAGUACGGUAGAGGGGGAUGGAAUUCCGCGUGUAGCAGUGAAAUGCGUAGAUAUGCGGAGGAACACCGAUGGCGAAGGCAAUCCCCUGGACCUGUACUGACGCUCAUGCACGAAAGCGUGGGGAGCAAACAGGAUUAGAAACCCCGGUAGUCCCAUG
Molecule: ribosomal RNA, 473 nt
Filed under: uncultured organism
Description: partial 16S ribosomal RNA
Rfam family: Bacterial small subunit ribosomal RNA
Source: RNAcentral